Molecule: long non-coding RNA, 3437 nt
Filed under: Schizosaccharomyces pombe (fission yeast)
Lineage: Eukaryota; Fungi; Ascomycota; Schizosaccharomycetes; Schizosaccharomycetales; Schizosaccharomycetaceae
Source: RNAcentral
GUUUGCUGGUGAAGAAAGAUGAAUUCAUUCAACUUUAGCCUUUUUGAGUAACCUUUCUUUGGUUUACUGUAGAAAGUUAGUUUUCUUUUCAAACCGUCAAUAAAGAGCUGCUUUAGAUUUAAAAGUUAACAUACGAUACACCAAAAAGUAGUUUAAAAAAUCUCAAAAGUUUCUAAUGAAUCAUUAAAUUAUAUUAUGUAAUUUAGUUAUGUAAAUUAUCAAUACCUCAUUCAAAAAAAACAAGUUUGACAAGUCCAGCUCGUCAAAUCCCCUUUCUUAGCCACUUAGUCAAAGUCCGAGUAAUUAUUCAAAGAAGCUAACAGCCGAGGUGGAUUGGCGGAUUGUGAAUUGGGGACAACUUUGAUGCUACCUGCAUCUACAGUUCUGGAAAUAUCUGCUUUAGAAGACUGGUUCAUUAAACCUCUAAAUUUCCGUCCUUGUGGACGUUGGGUAGAAGAAAUUAUAGGUGUUUUAUAAGACUUUGCUCCCAUCGAGUUAUCGUUUGAUAGGUCACCAAUUUUUUCGGACUGUGAAUUACUCACUAGUUUCCUUACUCCAGGAAAGAUUGGUAAAACUUCCUCUAAGCUGUUGUUAUCAGAGGUAUGUCUUGUUGAAGAUUUUUUGAGAUAUACUCUAUCAACGACAUUGGGACCACCGCUAGAGAAUAUUUCGCUUAAUUCCUCUUCCAUUUGCUCUUCUUCUUCAUGAUUUAAUGAUUGUUCAGAAUAAAGGUAUUCGUCACCUAAAUCUGAAGAACCUACACCAGAGUCUUCCACUGUAGCAUCAAGCCAAGUAAGGUUGUCUUUGCUGCUGACAAGGCUGUCUUCAACAGUAGCUAAAAAUGCUUUCCUUUUAUCACCUUCUAAGACAUUAAGGUUUCCAUCUUCCAAUAAUUUUUGACGCCGCAACUCCUUGAGUUUUUCGCGCCGCAAAUUACUGUAAUCUUCAUCGUCACUAUCGUCCAAAGCUGCAAAUCCAUUCCUAUUCCUCUUUCGUAGAGCACCAGUAGUAACGUCUUUCAUUAGCUGUUUUACUAACUUUUCAUCACGAUCCAUUUCUUGAUCUUUAGCGAAUUGUGCCAUUGAAGCUACCUCGCCUUUUUGUAUAGUAGUCUCGUCAUCAAUCAUAUUUUGAACUUCUAAUUCAGCAUCGCUGUCAGACAACCCAUCAUCGGAAAGGCCACCAAUUCCAGCAUACUCAUCAUCAGAUUCAAUAGCUUGCUCCUCAAUAAGGUCUGAAGCCCAUGCAGAAUCAGCCUUACCAGUAUCCUUAUUGUAAAGCAUAGUUCGACUCAAAAAUGUUUUGGAGUCCCUUCUUGACUCUCGUCUUUCUUCCAAUAUUUCUUCAUCAUCUUGAUCCUUGUUACGUUGAACAGAAUCAAUUUGAGUAGGAAUAGUGGAAUCUAAUUGAGUAGGAACUAGACUAUCUACUUGACUCGGCUGUGUAGAUGAGGUGUUGGUUUUGUCGUCUCUGCUAGAAGACUCCCAACGAGGAGGAGGUUGACUGUAUGUAGCGUCGACGAUUGUGAGUUGAGAAGCGCUUGGUUGACUGUUUUGAACAUAAAGAGAUGUAGAUUGAUCAACUUCGUCAUUAAUGCCAAAAGAAUCGUGUAAUUCUUCUGUUUUCUGAGAAUCUUUGAUGCUCUCACUACUUAACCUAUCGAAGGAAUCUCGAAUCAUAUCUCCAUUACUUUCAUCAUCAGAUUCAGAAAUUUUCAUAUUCGAAGAACCAUGCGAAUCUCCAGUUAGAUCCUCUUCAUCAAAAACAACACGGCUGUUUUUUUGUCGCCUUUUGGGUUCUGCCUGUGUUGCCUCAAUAAUCACGUCGGAUAUUAUGACCUUGUUGGUGGUUUUGGCUUUAGUAGAUGGAGUAUUAGAAGAUGAUAUAACCUCCUCCUCGUCGUUGAGUUCACCUUCAUCACUUGCAUUUCCAGAUGCUUUCUCCAGUUGUCGUAUUUUCUCAGCAUCAUUUCUAGCGCGUUCAAGCGGAUCUUCUUCCUCUUCUUUCUCACCUUGAAUUGUCGGUUUAUAAAUUCCCUUUGCUUUCAAUUCCUCCUCAAGUUGGUUGCGUUGCAAUUUUGCCAUAACAGCUGCACGUUUCACAAGGUUUCGAUUAAAAGACUUAAUGUUAAAUUCAUUUUCGAACGGCUUUCCAUCUUUGCUGAGCUUGAUUUCAGCAAGUUGCUUUAAUUUACCCUUAAUUCCAUGCUCAUUCUCUUCAGAUAACUUUGAUUUCUCAAUAUUAUCAAGAGCUGUAGUCUUGGGCUUAACUUCAAUUUCCAGCUCAGAAUCAAUGUCAUCCUCAUUCAAUUUUGCAUUAAUUUCCUUUAAUAAAAAUUUUUUAUUAUCCUCUUUCUUAACUUGAGUUUGAUUUAAAGUCGUAAACAAGCUUGUUUGACCAAUAUCCAAUGCUUCAGGAGUGAUUUCCUUCAACUCUAAAGAGUCAUCCUCAACCGAAAGUUCUUUUAUGUCUUCACUGUUCACUAUUCCCGUGGACCGGUCAACGCUAGGUUUUGGCUCUUCCUUCUCAACAUUUGGAGGCUCAGUUGAGUUAGCUUCCUCUUCCGAAAUUGCUUUAUUUUCAAGCUGGUUAUCGUUUUUGAAUCCUAUUUUUUGAAAAAAUUCACGAAGAGUCACUUUCUUUUUAACAACCACUUCUGGUUUUAAAGCUGUUUCUCUAGUUAAGCGGGCAGUAUUACGAUGUAGUUCCAGUAAAGCCUUUUUAGAUGCAUUUCGAAUUUUUCUGUCGGAAGUAUACUUCUUUGAAAGUUCUGAUUCGUCUGCCAAAUCGCUAUCAUCUGCACUUUCAGAAUCUAAAUUAUCUGAUUUGCUAUGGCUUGUAGCAGAGUUUUGGAUCAGAUCUUCCUGUUCCUUCUUCAAGGCAUUUCGUUUCUUUUCAAUUAAUUGUUGUAAACGUGAAUUUCUAUCAGAAUCCUUAUUUUCAGAGGAUGGACUUCCCUUCGCAUUAUCACCUCCCUCUUGAGUUUCAAUUUGUUCAACCUCCUUUUUUUGGAGAGAAGACUUACCACCUUGUUGAUUUAAUAAUCGCCUAACACGUUCAUAAGCAGAGUCAAAAUUAGAUAAAAAAUUCGUAUCAGAAUGAAGAUAGAUUUCGCUGCUAUACGAGCGAUUUUUCUGAUUCUCUAAAUUGCCAACGGUACUCUCUUUAUCCAAAGAUGCUUCAGAUACAGCAUUGCUAGACAAUUGCAUAUCAACACUCGCCAACAUUUUCCUCACCCUAGUGCGAGGCGUAUCUAAAAUAUCCUCUUGAUCAUCAUUGAUGGAAGCCUCAUCAGAAGAAUCCAUUCUGUGCAACUCAUCAGCGUUCUCGUCUAAAGAUGCCAUAGAUUUAAGCACCACAAAGCUCUUAUUGAACGAGUAAUGGUAGUUGCUUUGCCGCGAUACAUCUCUUAGUCCUCCUUAGAAUUCAUCAACAAA